AGCCCAGAGCCUGAAUCAGUGUGUGUGUUAGUGGAAGCGUCUGGAAAGGCGCGCGAUACAGGGUGACAGCCCCGUACACAAAAAUGCACAUGCUGUGAGCUCGAUGAGUAGGGCGGGACACGUGGUAUCCUGUCUGAAUAUGGGGGGACCAUCCUCCAAGGCUAAAUACUCCUGACUGACCGAUAGUGAACCAGUACCGUGAGGGAAAGGCGAAAAGAACCCCGGCGAGGGGAGUGAAAAAGAACCUGAAACCGUGUACGUACAAGCAGUGGGAGCCUCUUUUAUGGGGUGACUGCGUACCUUUUGUAUAAUGGGUCAGCGACUUAUAUUCUGUAGCAAGGUUAACCGAAUAGGGGAGCCGAAGGGAAACCGAGUCUUAACUGGGCGUUAAGUUGCAGGGUAUAGACCCGAAACCCGGUGAUCUAGCCAUGGGCAGGUUGAAGGUUGGGUAACACUAACUGGAGGACCGAACCGACUAAUGUUGAAAAAUUAGCGGAUGACUUGUGGCUGGGGGUGAAAGGCCAAUCAAACCGGGAGAUAGCUGGUUCUCCCCGAAAGCUAUUUAGGUAGCGCCUCGUGAAUUCAUCUCCGGGGGUAGAGCACUGUUUCGGCAAGGGGGUCAUCCCGACUUACCAACCCGAUGCAAACUGCGAAUACCGGAGAAUGUUAUCACGGGAGACACACGGCGGGUGCUAACGUCCGUCGUGAAGAGGGAAACAACCCAGACCGCCAGCUAAGGUCCCAAAGUCAUGGUUAAGUGGGAAACGAUGUGGGAAGGCCCAGACAGCCAGGAUGUUGGCUUAGAAGCAGCCAUCAUUUAAAGAAAGCGUAAUAGCUCACUGGUCGAGUCGGCCUGCGCGGAAGAUGUAACGGGGCUAAACCAUGCACCGAAGCUGCGGCAGCGAC
This 906-nucleotide ribosomal RNA is filed under the name Escherichia coli. RNAcentral's name for it is "partial 23S ribosomal RNA". It matches the Rfam family "Bacterial large subunit ribosomal RNA", at positions 296 to 1212 of the family's 2925-position model. Lineage: Bacteria; Pseudomonadati; Pseudomonadota; Gammaproteobacteria; Enterobacterales; Enterobacteriaceae. The record is from RNAcentral.